This 465-nucleotide ribosomal RNA is filed under the name uncultured bacterium. RNAcentral's name for it is "partial 16S ribosomal RNA". It matches the Rfam family "Bacterial small subunit ribosomal RNA", at positions 338 to 795 of the family's 1533-position model. The record is from RNAcentral.
CCUACGAGAGGCAGCAGUAGGGAAUCUUCCACAAUGGGCGAAAGCCUGAUGGAGCACCGCCGCGUGGGUGAAGCAGGUCUUCGGAUCGUAAAACCCUGUUGUUAGAGACGAAAGUGCGUAAGAGUAACUGUUCACGUUUCGACGGUAUCUAACCAGAAAGCCACGGCUAACUACGUGCCAGCAGCCGCGGUAAUACGUAGGUGGCAAGCGUUAUCCGGAUUUAUUGGGCGUAAGGGGAACGCAGGCGGUCUUUUAAGUCUGAUGUGAAAGCCUUCGGCUUAACCGGAGUAGUGCAUUGGAAACUGGGAGACUUGAGUGCAGAAGAGGAGAGUUGAACUCCAUGUGUAGCGGUGAAAUGCGUAGAUAUAUGGAAGAACACCAGUGGCGAAAGCGGCUCUCUGAUCUGUAACUGACGCUGAGGUUCGAAAGCGUGGGUAGCAAACAGGAUUAGAUACCCUAGUAGUC